This 253-nucleotide ribosomal RNA is filed under the name uncultured bacterium. Its description in RNAcentral is "partial 16S ribosomal RNA". It matches the Rfam family "Bacterial small subunit ribosomal RNA", at positions 524 to 776 of the family's 1533-position model. The record is from RNAcentral.
UACGGGGGGAGCAAGCGUUGUUCGGAUUUACUGGGCGUAAAGCGUGCGCAGGCGGUUUUGUAAGCCAGAUGUGAAAUCCCCGGGCUUAACCUGGGAAUGGCAUUUGGGACUGCAAGGCUGGAGUGUGGCAGAGGAGACUGGAAUUCCUGGUGUAGCAGUGAAAUGCGUAGAUAUCAGGAGGAAUACCGAUGGCGAAGGCAGGUCUCUGGGCUAACACUGACGCUCAUGCACGAAAGCGUGGGGAGCAAACAGG